GUGGCGAAAGGGACUCUGCAGAUGUGAUUAAGUAAAAGAUCUUGAAGUGGGAAGAUUAUCCCGGAUUAUCCAGGACAAAGGAAAAGGAAACAAAGAGAAGAAAGAAACAAGCAUGAUAGAAGGUGAUGCUAGUAACAGCUAUGAUAAAAGAAGAAAGAAGAUAUUUGGAAAAGGAAAAAGAUAUGGCUGCCUCUGCUGCUGGAGUUAGAGGAAAGCAACUGUGCUCUGGUGUCUGAGUCCAGUGGAAUGUUCUGUUCAUCCCCAGAAUUCGACGUGAAGUGGGUUACGUAGAGAUAUGCCAGAGCCUCCUCCCUCCCCUGCCUCGUUGUGCCUGUUUAAG
Non-coding RNA from Equus caballus (horse), 340 nucleotides. Lineage: Eukaryota; Metazoa; Chordata; Mammalia; Perissodactyla; Equidae. The record is from RefSeq and is a predicted model, not a curated record.